AACGAACGCUGGCGGCAGGCUUAACACAUGCAAGUCGAGCGCCCCGCAAGGGGAGCGGCCGACGGGUGAGUAACGCGUGGGAACGUACCUUUUGGUUCGUAACAACUCCGGGAAACUGGAGCUAAUACCGGAUAAGCCCUAACGGGGAAAGAUUUAUCGCCGAAAGAUCGGCCCGCGUCUGAUUAGCUAGUUGGUGAGGUAACGGCUCACCAAGGCGACGAUCAGUAGCUGGUCUGAGAGGAUGAUCAGCCACACUGGGACUGAGACACGGCCCAGACUCCUACGGGAGGCAGCAGUGGGGAAUAUUGGACGAUGGGCGCAAGCCUGAUCCAGCCAUGCCGCGUGAGUGAUGAAGGCCUUAGGGUUGUAAAGCUCUUUUGUCCGGGAAGAUAAUGACUGUACCGGAAGAAUAAGCCCCGGCUAACUUCGUG
RNAcentral lists this ribosomal RNA (431 nucleotides) under uncultured bacterium. Its description in RNAcentral is "partial 16S ribosomal RNA". It matches the Rfam family "Bacterial small subunit ribosomal RNA", at positions 29 to 507 of the family's 1533-position model. The record is from RNAcentral.